Long non-coding RNA from Ctenopharyngodon idella (grass carp), 3177 nucleotides. RefSeq lists it as uncharacterized. The record is from RefSeq and is a predicted model, not a curated record. The transcript is spliced from 2 exons. NCBI's taxonomy places the organism in Eukaryota, Metazoa, Chordata, Actinopteri, Cypriniformes, Xenocyprididae.
ACGCGUCAUUCCUCACUGACAGAACAUGCACACAUAAAAACUCUCUCUUAUAGAUUUAACAUCAUAAACAGUUAUAUUAUAGACUGCAAACCCUUGAAAGAUAGAGUUUUGCAUUGACAAAUAUUUCACUUUACUCAUUUCACAUUCAUGUAUACAUCUUAAACACAUACAAAACACCAAAUACAUGUACUGCAAUUACUGCAAAAAAACUAUUCUUAACCAGUACUUUAUGGAAACAUCCUUAAAACAAGAUUAAUUCACCUGAGAAGUAAAACCACAGUGUAUUUUGUCUUGAUUCAAAGGUAGAUUUAAGCAUAAACUCACUAAAAACAAGUGCACUUUUGCCUAAAAUACACUUAUAUACAAGUUGCAUUCUUACAAAAUCUCAGUUAUCUUUUUUCAAGGAUGUUUUUAGGUGGAAAACAAGACAGAAUACUGGCUAAGAACAUGAUUUUUGGAGUGUUGCAAAGUAUGCAAAGGACAAACACACACAGAGAGAUGAUCAUUCAUAGACUCAUGCACGUGAACUUCUCUAGGUCCAUCAGUGCUUUAACAUGCAAAUCAAAGUGAACCUUCCCCUUGAUACUGAUGACGUAUGUAAGGAAGUGAGGAGAACGCCAUGCACACACAGAUACAGAGGAGACGCGCGAGAGCUGCAGCGAUGAGAUGUGGAGAAGACAUGAGGAGAAUCUGCUGAACGUCAAAAGAUACUGAUCCAUGACAGCAGACGACAAUGAGGUCAAACACAGAGGAAAAUUUACCGCUCAGAGGUUAGGCUUUCAUCACAUGGCUUUCAGAUCUAAGUGAACUUUAUCUCAGAUGUUUGUCCUUAAAUUGAUUAAGGGAAAUAUAAUGUUGAGCUAAAAAAUUGUGCAUAGCAAAGAUGAACUUUUGAGUUCAAAUUACAUUAACUGCACACUUUGGUAAAAUCUAAUGACAGUUUGAGGCACUGUUCUGAAAUCUAAAGGAGACACAUGUGAGAUCACUAGGGUCUUAUUCUCAGGUUAAAAAUCUGUAUAGCAGGAGAUUUAAAGGAACUUUCCAGGUUCAGAACAAGUUAAGCUUUAUCAACAGCUGUUAUUACCACAGAAAAUAUUCAGCUUGUCCCUCAAGUUAGUAAAAACAAGCAAAAAUCACAUCUAUUAUAAUAUACUAACAAUGGAAGUUAAUUGAGACAGGCAUUGUAUUUUUUGCUACCAUUGUAUUUUACAACUACCCAUAAAGUAUUUUAUUUCACCUGCAGAAAAUGCAUUGAUUAAACAUCAACUGUACAAAUAAAAUUAAAGCACUUUAAGAAAAAUAUAAGCUUUAUAUUACUGUUUUAAAUGAAAUACAGCACACAUAACUACUGCUUGUUUGUAUAAACCAAGAGACAAGUUGAAACUAUUUUCUCUGGAAAUCAAGCUUUACACUCUUAAAGAUUCCAAAGGAUCAAAAGAAGAAACAAAAAAUAUAUAAAAAUAUGAAAGAACAAACUAAAUAUCAAACAGAGAAAACAAAAGCAUAAACAAAAUUCAAACAAAAUGAAAUAAAGAAUGAACUAGAGAGCUAAUAUACUAGCUAAAAAAUCCUGGGUUAUUUUUUCUACCCAAAUCCUGGGUUGAGCCUUUUGGGUCAUUUUGUUUGGGUUAUUUUUCCACUGUUUGUGUAGUUUUUGUGUUACUCAGAUCCUGGGUCAGACGUAAUAACCCAGGGAUUGAGUUAUUUAUUGCGGGCUUUUUGCGCCCUUUUCAGGAGAGAGCAAUGCAGCUCCGUCAAAUUGGUGCAUGUCUUCAGUAAAAUACAGGCAUCAACAUGGCCAACCGUUUAGCUGGGAGUGGGUGAGGCAGGGGUCCUGAUGGAGGUGAUCGCCCCACAGACUGGCACCGUGGAGCCGCUCCAGAGACACAAUCGGAGAAAGUGCCCAGCAUUGUGAAGGGCAAGAGAGAGGGCAACCCAGUUUAAUCUAUGCCAUAUUAUUAAAGCAUUUGCAUUGAUUAUCUUAAUAGUUUAUGUCUUUAUAUUCAACAAAUAAUGAUGUUAAACAAGUAUACAAGCAGCAAUGUCACAUUAGUCUGUUAAAAAAAGAGUAUAUACUCUAUAUAUCCAAUGAAACCACUGUUGUGCCCAGGUAGUUUUCCCUCCACAAUGUCUUGCACUUCCAGGUCAGGAUUUUUGAAGACGUAACGGCACGUCCGCAGUGGCAGUCUGGAGGGUGAUAGACGUACAGAGGGGUCAAGCUGAUGAAAACACGGGGUGUAAGAGGAGGACGACAAACCAACCGGGCGCUACCAAGUGCUCCAUCACCGAGACAACAGGAGAGGACCUAAAUCUAGCAAAUUCAUCUGCAGCCUAUUCCUGCCCCUUAACUGAUAAUUAUACAAACUGUAAUAGACAACCUACAAGAAUAAACUGUGGCUAAACUGAAGACAAAAUCACAUGCUCAUAGAGGUCUGUCUUUAAGUAUUCAGCUGUAUGGCAACAUUUCUGUUCAGUCUUCAAGGUUUAAUGGAACAGUUUGCACAAAAAUAAAAAUUCAAGAUCAUUUAUUCACCCUCAAACCCAUAUGUUUUGGAGGAUGUUCAAACUGCUCUUUUCUAUUCAAUGAAAGCAUAUAGUGAUUAGGGCAAUGUUGUUAUUGUUAACUAAAGCUAUAGCCAUCUGAUUAGCUGUGCAUUUACUGAAUUACUACUGACUGCAUUUGUUUUUUAUACAUUUUAAAUACAUUUUUUUUUUUUUAAAAAACUUUGUUAUUUUUUAUCUUAUGCAUCUGUUAUCUGUUAUAAUUUGAAAUUCCUUUUUAAUGUAAAGCACUUUGAAUAUCACCAUUGUGAAAGUAUGUGCUAUAUAUAUAUAUAUAUAUAUAUAUAUAUAAACUUGCCUUGCCUUUCAACUAAAACUAUUACAGAUUUAUUUAAUUUAAAUAAAGCUUAAAAAUUAAAUAAGUUUAAGUUGAAGUACUAAAAUUUCUAAAACCUAAACUAGAAUAAAAAAAAAUAUUAAAGCUAAACAGAAAUAUUUAAUAUAUAAAAAUAAAAUAAUAUACUAAAAAUAAGAUAAUGCGUGCGUAAAUAUAUAUAUAUAAAGCUAAUUCAAAAUAUUAAUAAAUACUAUAAUAGCAUAUAAAUAAUACUAAGCUAACACUUAUCAGGCAAUGUCUAGCACCAAAAAAAAAAAAAAAAAAAAAAAUCCAUAAAA